This 74-nucleotide transfer RNA is filed under the name Pteropus alecto (black flying fox). It matches the Rfam family "tRNA". Rfam says of the family: Transfer RNA (tRNA) molecules are approximately 80 nucleotides in length. Their secondary structure includes four short double-helical elements and three loops (D, anti-codon, and T loops). Further hydrogen bonds mediate the characteristic L-shaped molecular structure. tRNAs have two regions of fundamental functional importance: the anti-codon, which is responsible for specific mRNA codon recognition, and the 3' end, to which the tRNAs corresponding amino acid is attached (by aminoacyl-tRNA synthetases). tRNAs cope with the degeneracy of the genetic code in two manners: having more than one tRNA (with a specific anti-codon) for a particular amino acid; and 'wobble' base-pairing, i.e. permitting non-standard base-pairing at the 3rd anti-codon position. The record is from Rfam by way of RNAcentral. Lineage: Eukaryota; Metazoa; Chordata; Mammalia; Chiroptera; Pteropodidae.
GGCUCCAUAGCAUAGUGGUUAGCACAUCUGCUUUCCAUGCAGAACGCCCUGGGUUCGCGCCCCAAGUAGAGCCG